GGCGAAAUUGUAGUGCAAGUGAAGAUGCUUGCUACCCGCGAUUGGACGGAAAGACCCCGUAGAGCUUUACUGUAGCUUAGCAUUGAAUCUCGGUAUUGUCUGUACAGGAUAGGUGGGAGACUUGGAAGCUUGGGCGUCAGCCUGAGUGGAGUCAUCCUUGGGAUACCACCCUGACAGUACUGGGGUUCUAACCGGCGGCCAUGAAUCUGGUCACGGGACAUUGUUAGGUGGGCAGUUUGACUGGGGCGGUCGCCUCCUA
This 259-nucleotide ribosomal RNA is filed under the name Clostridium botulinum. RNAcentral's name for it is "partial 23S ribosomal RNA". It matches the Rfam family "Bacterial large subunit ribosomal RNA", at positions 2035 to 2292 of the family's 2925-position model. Lineage: Bacteria; Bacillati; Bacillota; Clostridia; Eubacteriales; Clostridiaceae. The record is from RNAcentral.